AGUGAACGCUGGCGGUAGGCCUAAUACAUGCAAGUCGAACGGCAGCACAGUAAGAGCUUGCUCUUACGGGUGGCGAGUGGCGGACGGGUGAGGAAUACAUCGGAAUCUACUUUUUCGUGGGGGAUAACGUAGGGAAACUUACGCUAAUACCGCAUACGACCUACGGGUGAAAGCAGGGGAUCUUCGGACCUUGCGCGAUUGAAUGAGCCGAUGUCGGAUUAGCUAGUUGGCGGGGUAAAGGCCCACCAAGGCGACGAUCCGUAGCUGGUCUGAGAGGAUGAUCAGCCACACUGGAACUGAGACACGGUCCAGACUCCUACGGGAGGCAGCAGUGGGGAAUAUUGGACAAUGGGCGAAAGCAUGAUCCAGCCAUACCGCGUGGGUGAAGAAGGCCUUCGGGUUGUAAAGACCUUUUGUUGGGAAAGAAAAGCAGCAGGUUAAUACCCCGCUGUUCUGACGGUACCCAAAGAAUAAGCACCGGCUAACUUCGUG
This 492-nucleotide ribosomal RNA is filed under the name uncultured bacterium. Its description in RNAcentral is "partial 16S ribosomal RNA". It matches the Rfam family "Bacterial small subunit ribosomal RNA", at positions 29 to 507 of the family's 1533-position model. The record is from RNAcentral.